GUCGAACGGGUGCGUAACACGUGGAUAACCUUCCUUCAGGUGGGGAAUAACCCAUGUGAAAACUGGUGCUAAUACCGCAUAACAUGACGAUGGCACAUGCUGUUGUCUUCAAAGGCGCAAGUCGUCCAGAAUGAGGGAUCCGCGGCCGAUUAGCUUGUUGGCGAGGUAAUGGCUCACCAAGGCAUUGAUCGGUAGCCGGACUGAGAGGUUGGCCGGCCACACUGGAACUGAGACACGGUCCAGACUCAAUACGGGAGGCAGCAGUGGGGAAUUUUGCACAAUGGACGAAAGUCUGAUGCAGCAACGCCGCGUGGGGGAUGAAGCUUCUCGGAGUGUAAACCCCUUUCGACCCGGAAGAAUGCCCGCAAGGGUUUGACGGUACGGGUAUAAGAAGCCCCGGCUAACUACGUGCCAGCAGCCGCGGUAAUACGUAGGGGGCCAGCGUUGCUCGGAAUUACUGGGCGUAAAGGGUCUGUAGGCGGUGCGGCCAAGUCGAUAGUGAAAUCCCUAGGCUUAACCUAGGGGCUGCUAGCGAAACUGCCGUGCUUAAGAGUUGUGAGAGAGGCGAGUGGGAAUUACGGGGUGUAGCCGGUGAAAUU
Molecule: ribosomal RNA, 599 nt
Filed under: uncultured bacterium
Lineage: Bacteria
Description: bacterial SSU rRNA
Rfam family: Bacterial small subunit ribosomal RNA
Source: RNAcentral